AACGAACGCUGGCGGCAGGCCUAAUACAUGCAAGUCGAACGAUGCAGCAAUGCAUAGUGGCGCACGGGUGAGUAACGCGUGGGAAUCUACCCUAGAGCGGGGGACAACCCGGGGAAACCCGGGCUAAUACCGCAUACGUCCUACGGGAGAAAGAGGGCCUCUGCUUGCACGCUCUCACUCCAGGAUGAGCCCACGUCCGAUUAGCUAGUUGGUAGGGUAAAGGCCUACCAAGGCCACGAUCGGUAGCUGGUCUGAGAGGAUGAUCAGCCACACUGGGACUGAGACACGGCCCAGACUCCUACGGGAGGCAGCAGUGGGGAAUAUUGGACAAUGGGCGCAAGCCUGAUCCAGCAAUGCCGCGUGUGUGAAGAAGGCCUGCGGGUUGUAAAGCACUUUCAGUGGGGAAGAACAGAUUCGGGUCAAUACCCCGGAGCCCUGACGUUACCCACAGAAGAAGCACCGGCUAACUCCGUGCCAGCAGCCGCGGU
RNAcentral lists this ribosomal RNA (488 nucleotides) under uncultured bacterium. RNAcentral describes it as "bacterial SSU rRNA". It matches the Rfam family "Bacterial small subunit ribosomal RNA", at positions 29 to 521 of the family's 1533-position model. The record is from RNAcentral.